Long non-coding RNA from Oncorhynchus tshawytscha (Chinook salmon), 1090 nucleotides. The record is from Ensembl. NCBI's taxonomy places the organism in Eukaryota, Metazoa, Chordata, Actinopteri, Salmoniformes, Salmonidae.
CUCUCUCUCAUCUAUCUCCUCACCUCUCUCGGUGGGCAUGUGUGUCUUUUGUAUGUGUUGAAUAUGAAUAAACUGUAUUUACAUGUAUUUACGUAUAUGCAUAUGCACAGUGCAUAAGAGCUUGCAGCCUCAUACCCACGAAGGCUGUAAUCGCUGCCAAAGGGAGCCAACCCGACUAAGCGCUGCGGAGAAGCAGCGGCGCUCUCGCGUUCGACGCGAUGCCGUGCCCAGAGAGGAGAGAGAGAUACUUCAAAAAGGAACAGCAGAAAUACUGGGAGGACAUAGCAUCAGGCAGGAAGUGGAGAGAGACUUACGACAGGAUCAAGUCCAGGAAAGUAGCCCUAAAGCACUUCACCACACCUCCAGAGAGCCCCCGGCUUUCACCAGACAGAGCUGAUAAUCCAGAGCCAAGCACUUCCGGGUCAGGAUGAGAGUUAAGCUCUAGUGCCAAACUAGAGACUUUCUAAGAAAAGAGGAAGAUGGAGAACCCAUACUGUGCAGAGGCAGGAGCCAGACACACAUGCUGCAGGGGGAGGAGCGAUACUCACACCUUCUCUCUCUUUCCCUCUCUCCACCGCCCACCCCACCCCGCACACACAAGCACGCACUCACAUACAUGCACACACACUCAUGGAAAAGCACGCACACACACUCAUGCAAAAGCACGCACACACACUCAAUGCGAAAGCACUCACACACACUCAAGCAAAAGCAUGCACACACAAUUGUUACUGCUUUUAUAUUGUUAUUUAGACUAAGAUCUUUUUUUUUGCCAAAUAUAAUGACCUCUGUUUUAUCUUUGUUUAAUUUAAGGAAAUUCUGUGACAUCCAGUUAUUCUCACACACACCAGCACUCAUUCCUGUUACUCAGUGCUCAUUCCUGUUACUCAGUGCUCAUUCCUGUUACUCAGUGCUCAUUCCUGUUACUCAGUGCUCAUUCCUGUUACUCAGUGCUCAUUCCUGUUACUCAGCGCUCAUUCCUGUUACUCAGUGCUCAUUCCUGUUACUCAGUGCUCAUUCCUGUUACUCAGUGCUCAUUCCUGUUACUCAGCACUCAUUCCUGUUACUCAGCGCUCAUUCCUGUUACUCA